UCUCAAUUUCUCGCCUAUUCC
RNAcentral lists this non-coding RNA (21 nucleotides) under Arabidopsis thaliana (thale cress). The record is from RNAcentral. Lineage: Eukaryota; Viridiplantae; Streptophyta; Magnoliopsida; Brassicales; Brassicaceae.